This 445-nucleotide long non-coding RNA is filed under the name Pongo abelii (Sumatran orangutan). Its description in RNAcentral is "lincRNA". The record is from RNAcentral. Lineage: Eukaryota; Metazoa; Chordata; Mammalia; Primates; Hominidae.
CAUAGGAGCUGACUGAGUUGGCUUGGCUGUACGUAGGAGGAAGACCCUGAUCCCUGGUGCUCAACACAAAAAUGCUUCAAUGAUCCCCUGAGAUUGUUUUACCUUGCAACACUCUCGGAAAAUUGCUGCUCCAGGAAUGCGAUGAAAAGAUCUGUAAGAGAGCACAGCCCCUGUUGAUUGACUUGUCUUGGUCAAACCAGAGCUUCUGGCUGGGAUACUGGUAUCUUGAGUGAGUCACAGCAGGAGAUACGUUCUGGAGCUGAGGAGGUUGGAGAGGCAGCAGAAAAGGUAGGAGACAGCAAGAGGAGGAGAGCAGCCUACAGAUGAGAAGACAAGUAAUUUACCCUGAAGUUCUGGGACUGCUGUUGGUCAAAGGAUAAAUCCUUCUGAGAGAUUUCGAUUUUAGGUUUUGAUUCUACUUCUGUUUCUAUGAAUGCUAGAGAGA